GUCCUUUUGAAUUUUAUUUAAGGUCUGACCUGCCCACUGAUUUAUUUAAUGGCCGCGGUAUUUUGACCGUGCAAAGGUAGCAUAAUAAUUUGUCUUUUAAUUGAAGGCUUGUAUGAAUGGUUGGACGAGAAAACUACUUUCUUUGUAAUAAAAUUAUAAAUUUUAUUUUUUAGUUAAAAAGCUAAAAUGUUGUUGUAGGACGAGAAGACCCUAUAGAACUUUAUAUUUAUUUUUAUAUUAAUAUUUUUGGUUAAUAAUAUAUUGUAUUAUAAUCAAUAUUUUGUUGGGGCGACAAGAAAAUUUAUUUAACUUUUUUUUAAUUAUUUCAUUAAUUAAUGUAUAAAUGAUCCUUUAUUAUGGAUAAUAAGAAUAAGUUACCUUAGGGAUAACAGCGUAAUUUUUUUGGAGAGUUCUUAUCGAUAAAAAAGUUUGCGA
Molecule: ribosomal RNA, 435 nt
Filed under: Arctocorisa carinata
Lineage: Eukaryota; Metazoa; Arthropoda; Insecta; Hemiptera; Corixidae
Also listed under: 1 other name
Description: partial large subunit ribosomal RNA
Rfam family: Archaeal large subunit ribosomal RNA
Source: RNAcentral